UACGUAGGGUGCGAGCGUUGUCCGGAAUUAUUGGGCGUAAAGAGCUCGUAGGCGGUGUGUCGCGUCGGCCGUGAAAGCCUGGGGCUUAACUCUGGGCGUGCGGUCGAUACGGGCAUCACUGGAGUUCGGCAGGGGAGACUGGAAUUCCUGGUGUAGCGGUGAAAUGCGCAGAUAUCAGGAGGAACACCGGUGGCGAAGGCGGGUCUCUGGGCCGAUACUGACGCUGAGGAGCGAAAGCAUGGGUAGCGAACAGG
Molecule: ribosomal RNA, 254 nt
Filed under: uncultured bacterium
Lineage: Bacteria
Description: partial 16S ribosomal RNA
Rfam family: Bacterial small subunit ribosomal RNA
Source: RNAcentral